RNAcentral lists this unclassified non-coding RNA (253 nucleotides) under uncultured Planctomycetota bacterium. Its description in RNAcentral is "uncultured planctomycete contains 16S-23S intergenic spacer region". It matches the Rfam family "Bacterial small subunit ribosomal RNA", at positions 524 to 776 of the family's 1533-position model. The record is from RNAcentral. Lineage: Bacteria; Pseudomonadati; Planctomycetota.
UACAGAGAUGGCAACCGUUGUUCGGAAUCACUGGGCUUAAAGAGCACGUAGGCGGAGAAAUAAGUCAAUUGUGAAAGCCCAUGGCUUACCCAUGGAAUUGCAGUUGAAACUGUUUCCCUUGAGUGUGGAAGGGGAGAGUGGAACUCCUAGUGGAGCGGUGAAAUGCGUUGAUAUUAGGAGGAACGCCGGUGGCGAAAGCGACUCUCUGGUCCAUAACUGACGCUGAGGUGCGAAAGCCAGGGGAGCAAACGGG